GGACCUUUAGCUCAGUUGGUUAGAGCUGACGGCUCAUAACCGUCCGGUCGUAGGUUCGAGUCCUACAAGGUCCA
This 74-nucleotide transfer RNA is filed under the name Bacillus thuringiensis. RNAcentral describes it as "tRNA-Met". It matches the Rfam family "tRNA". Rfam says of the family: Transfer RNA (tRNA) molecules are approximately 80 nucleotides in length. Their secondary structure includes four short double-helical elements and three loops (D, anti-codon, and T loops). The record is from RNAcentral. RNAcentral also lists the same sequence under 3 other names. Lineage: Bacteria; Bacillati; Bacillota; Bacilli; Caryophanales; Bacillaceae.